Molecule: ribosomal RNA, 270 nt
Filed under: uncultured bacterium
Lineage: Bacteria
Description: partial 16S ribosomal RNA
Rfam family: Bacterial small subunit ribosomal RNA
Source: RNAcentral
UACGGAGGGGGUUAGCGUUGUUCGGAAUACUGGCGUAAGCGUACGUAGGCGGAUCAGAAAGUUGGGGGUGAAAUCCCGGGGCUCAACCCCGGAACUGCCUCCAAAACUCCUGGUCUUGAGUUCGAGAGAGGUGAGUGGAAUUCCGAGUGUAGAGGUGAAAUUCGUAGAUAUUCGGAGGAACACCAGUGGCGAAGGCGGCUCACUGGCUCGAUACUGACGCUGAGGUACGAAAGUGUGGGGAGCAAACAGGAUUAGAUACCCGGCGUAGUC